RNAcentral lists this ribosomal RNA (440 nucleotides) under Silvimonas sp. OKI-24. RNAcentral's name for it is "bacterial SSU rRNA". It matches the Rfam family "Bacterial small subunit ribosomal RNA", at positions 30 to 471 of the family's 1533-position model. Lineage: Bacteria; Pseudomonadati; Pseudomonadota; Betaproteobacteria; Neisseriales; Chitinibacteraceae. The record is from RNAcentral. RNAcentral also lists the same sequence under 1 other name.
UGAACGCUGGCGGCAUGCUUUACACAUGCAAGUCGAACGGACUUUUGGGGCUUGCUCCAAAAGUUAGUGGCGAACGGGUGAGUAAUGCAUCGGAACGUACCGUGUGAUGGGGGAUAACUUUCCGAAAGGAAGGCUAAUACCGCAUACGCCCUGAGGGGGAAAGUGGGGGAUCGCAAGACCUCAUGUCAUACGAGCGGCCGAUGUCGGAUUAGCUAGUUGGUGCGGUAAAGGCGCACCAAGGCGACGAUCCGUAGCGGGUCUGAGAGGACGACCCGCCACACUGGGACUGAGACACGGCCCAGACUCCUACGGGAGGCAGCAGUGGGGAAUCUUGGACAAUGGGCGCAAGCCUGAUCCAGCAAUGCCGCGUGGGUGAAGAAGGCCUUCGGGUUGUAAAGCCCUUUUGUCAGGGAGCAAAUCCUUGCAGCUAAUAACUGCCG